This 1703-nucleotide long non-coding RNA is filed under the name Capsicum annuum. RNAcentral's name for it is "long non-coding RNA (CANN_LNC009139)". Lineage: Eukaryota; Viridiplantae; Streptophyta; Magnoliopsida; Solanales; Solanaceae. The record is from RNAcentral.
CAGCUAUUGGUUAUUUAAAUUUCAUUUGUAUCACAUAAAUUAAGAUUAAAAAUAUAUAUAUAUAUUGAGCUCGUGCUAGCACGAAUCGUGGAUAUCUAGUUCAUAAAAUAAAAGGCAAUAGAUCAAUUAAAGAAAUAGAUAUUGAAUUAAUUAUAAGCAAAAUUGUUCUUUAGCUGUAUUUUAUUGAUUGAGUUUCACUAAAGUGAUUUAAUUAAAACUAUCGCCCACAACUGGCCCCUGUUGUGUACAACUCAAACCAACUCAGUCAAAUUGAACUAAGUGAAUUCAAGUGGUAAACGUGUUUAUUUAUUUGGUUUUUUAAUUUAAAGCACGUGCUUUGUAUUAUUUAUCAUUAUAUGUCAUUUCACCCAUUGGAAAAUAUCUGGCAAGCAAAAACAAAUAAUCUGACAUUAUAUUACAGACAAGAAAUACUCCAUCAGCUUGUGAAAAAAAGAACGACUGGUAUUUAUAUAUAUAUAUUUUUUUAAUUACAAUUUUUUGUAACCGUAGAAAUUUGACGGUGCUUGUGAUUAGAUAAAAUUUAUAAGUUUCAUAUUUUUUUUUGAAAAAUCAGUGGUUAGUCAAAUUAUGCUUCAUAAAAUCAAACUAAGGUAAUACUAUAAUAAGAAAAAGUUUUUUAUAUCUACAUAUUCUGCAUGCCAGCUUUUCUCUAUAUUGACAGAGUCAUUUUAAAAUCUACAUGUUCAGCAAAAAAAAAAAAAAAAAAAAGUUUUUAUAUUGACGCAACUUUUUAAUUGCAACAAAUAGUACAUCCUCCAUUUAAUUUUGUUUGUCAUUCUUUGAAUUGAGAUAAUUUAAUAAAUAUUUGAAAUUACAUUGAUGCAGUAACAAAAUUCUUAACAUGUUGUAGUAUUUAUAUAAUUAUAUAAAAAGAUGAUAACAUAAUCAGUAUAAUUUUAUUAAGCGGUGUUUGGAGACGAUAUAAUAUAAGCACACCGUACCUCUACCUCAAAAGUAGAUAAACCGAUUUCGAUAACUCCUCGGCUCAAGAAAGAUCGUCCAAAAAAGUUAAAAGAAUUAAAAGACGCGUAGAAAAUAGCAGACAAUACCGAAACAUCAUACAGUGUAGAGCAGUAAUUACAACACAAUACUAUGAUAGUCAAAGUAUAAGUAACAAAUAAUAAUAGAAGUCACAAGACAAGAAACUACCAAAGUAAUACUACGACUAAUUGUAUGGAAGACAACAAGACAAAAUACCAAACGCUACUAACUCGACAAUAACGAAACAUCAUACAGUAACAGCACAAUAACUACAACACAAUAUUAUGAUUGUCGAAGUAUAAACAACAACAAAUAAUAAUAACAGAAAUCACAGUACAAGAAACUAACAAAGCAAUACUGUAACUAACAAUAUGUUAGACAACAAGAUAGAAUAUUGAUCCCUACUAACUCUCAACCCUAAUGCACGUAACAACAAUAAAUAAUAACAGAAAUCGCAAGACAAAAAACAAACAAAGCAAUACUGCAACUGACAAUAUGAUAGACAACAAGAUAAAACACUUAUCUCUACUGACCCUCAACCCUAAUGCGUGUCCUCCUCAACUUUUAGUAAUUUUUUCAUGAACGGACUAGCAAAGGAAUAAUCUCAAGCACAAUUGAACGGUGGAGUAAAAUGUUGCCUACAUCAUUGUAGUUUAAAAUCAGAAAUAUAACCUUAUCAACAAUUAAUUUUAGUAAUGAAG